Molecule: ribosomal RNA, 478 nt
Filed under: uncultured bacterium
Lineage: Bacteria
Description: partial 16S ribosomal RNA
Rfam family: Bacterial small subunit ribosomal RNA
Source: RNAcentral
GACGAACGCUGGCGGCGUGCUUAACACAUGCAAGUCGAACGGUAAGGCCCUUCGGGGUACACGAGUGGCGAACGGGUGAGUAACACGUGGGUGAUCUGCCCUGCACUUCGGGAUAAGCCUGGGAAACUGGGUCUAAUACCGGAUAGGACCCUGGGAUGCAUGUCCUGGGGUGGAAAGCUUUUGCGGUGUGGGAUGGGCCCGCGGCCUAUCAGCUUGUGGGUGGGGUGAUGGCCUACCAAGGCGACGACGGGUAGCCGGCCUGAGAGGGUGACCGGCCACACUGGGACUGAGAUACGUCCCAGACUCCUACGGGAGGCAGCAGUGGGGAAUAUUGCACAAUGGGCGCAAGCCCGAUGCAGCGACGCCGCGUGAGGGAUGACGGCCUUCGGGUUGUAAACCUCUUUCAGCACCGACGAAGCGCAAGUGACGGUAGGUGCAGAAGAAGGACCGGCCAACUACGUGCCAGCAGCCGCCGUAA